Molecule: ribosomal RNA, 253 nt
Filed under: uncultured bacterium
Lineage: Bacteria
Description: partial 16S ribosomal RNA
Rfam family: Bacterial small subunit ribosomal RNA
Source: RNAcentral
UACGUAGGGUGCAAGCGUUAAUCGGAAUUACUGGGCGUAAAGCGUGCGCAGGCGGCUUUGUAAGACAGAUGUGAAAUCCCCGGGCUUAACCUGGGAACUGCAUUUGUGACUGCAUGGCUGGAGUGCGGCAGAGGGGGAUGGAGUUCCGCGUGUAGCAGUGAAAUGCGUAGAUAUGCGGAGGAACACCGAUGGCGAAGGCAAUCCCCUGGGCCUGCACUGACGCUCAUGCACGAAAGCGUGGGGAGCAAACAGG